AGUAACCAGCCUAAAAUAAUCCUCAUCAAUACCAGCAUCUUCCUCCACCCCUCCUCCCCAGAUCUUCCAGGAAAAAGAGAGGAAACUUUCUAGUAGGGACAUGCCUUUAGCCCCACUCAUGUUGAGUGUGAGCAGACACCUGUGAAGGUGUGUAAGCCAGCCUUUUGUGCCUCUGUAUCCCCCACCACCCCAUUUUAGACAACCAAUAUUCCAAUUGUGCAUUCAAAUUUCUCUAUCACACUAUUCCUCUGAGGAGGAUGUCUCUCUGCCCAUUGUUGGACUUUAUGGGCUGUAAAGUGUGUUCUUUGGCCUGAAGAAAUGUGACCCAGCAGUGCAAAUUGGUGUACUGUCUUCUGUUCUGGUUCUUUUAUAGCACUCUGAGCAUUUAUAUCUCCCACUGGAUAAGCAAAGCCCAAUCCAGGGUCAAUAUCUACUCCGGUCAAGACCCAUUUGUAGCCCCCUGGGCCACCAGCAUCAGUCUGAUUUGCCAGCUAUGUUCAAGACAUUCCCACCAGGCAAUCUGCCACAUAGCCAUCUAUUUUCUCUGGUUGGCAGACAGAACAGUUCUUUUUGGUAUUUUUCUUCAGAGGAUGCAAGUGGAAUAUGUCUAGACUCAGCCCAUCUCUGCUUCGCUGCAGCCCCUCAAUGUCUACUUAUGUCAUGGAUCCAGGUAGCCACAUCAAGGGGAAUAAUGUGUUAUUUGCUCAUUGAUUCCAGACUCUUCCCAACCCAGGAGGGCCUUCUUGUGAUGGGCAUCAACAUGUCGUACUUUACACACCCCUGAAAUUCCCAUAGUGAUUUCCAUAGGACUGUGCUCCGUAUGGCGUUCCUUUAAUAGACCAGGUUUCCCUUGCCCUUUGCCUAACCAUAUGGCCUGGCUGUUGACUACCGUCUAUGAGUUUGUAAAAAUCAAACAUUAAGGGCUUUUAUCAUUGUUCAAUUCUUCCAUCACUGCUAGGAAAACUGCAUGCAAUUCAGCUCAUUGAGCUGAUCUGUUUUUACUUGAUCAGAAAGAUGAUGUUCCAAACUGGGUUUUGUCUGCUCACCUUGGAACUGCCAUCCAUAAACCAGGCAGCUUCUCUUAGGUCAGUUGAGAACUGUUUUUAGGAUAUUGUCCAAGUGAUGAAACAAUCCAGCAGCUCCUCAUGCAUUCCAAAGUUAGUCCGAGGGGAAGACAGGCUCCCUGCUCAUGCGUGCAUCCUUCCUGUAUUUCCCUGGGAGCACGAUCCUGUAUAACCUGUCUCCAUUUUUAGUGGAACUCUGUUGAGCAGUGUCCCCUUCAUCAGUGUGUUCCUCUGAUUUUGUCGAACACAACAUGGGUAUUUCAGUUUUAAGAUUAUUUUACAUCUUUUAGUCAUAAGGGUAGUUUCAAUUAAUGUCCAAUAGCAAGCUAGUAACUGCCCCUCAAAUGGAAACUCUCUACUUCCAAGUCCCAUUAGUCAUCACUGGGAGAUGCUCAGGGGCUUUUGCCAGAAGCUCCAGUGCCCGCUCCACCCAGGGCUCUUGUGCGGAGAGUGUGUCUGCACUGCACUCCAGCUUCUGUUCUACACUGUUGGGUUUCCACAGAGCAUGUCCAGUUAAUAUGGCUUGAAGGGUGGGUUUACAUGUCUUCUGUGUUACAAUACUAAGUGGGGAAAGUGUUCCGCAGUCAGACAGAUUUUCCAUUCCCAUAAAACAGUCAGGUAAGGGAGACACAACUUGUUCACUUAAAGCCUGUUUAAACAUUCCAAUUUCAUCCAAAUUUUCACCUUCAUCUUAUCAACUCUUACAUUUGUGUAUUCUCUCAAUCUCACUGUAGCCCACUUUAGGGCUUCACCAAUGGGUUUUGGUGCCACAGUGCAUGGGGCUCCUGUGUAAAGGAGUCCUGGAAACUUCUCUCUCCACCCCUGACCCUUUGACCCACUCUUGUGUAGAAGGCUCUGGAUCCCAGCGAGGCAUCAAGCCAGAUAGCCUUGGCUCUUUUGUCAUCUUUUCCUUGAUUAAUCUGCCUGACUACUGCAGGUCAGGGUUCUCAUUGUGAUCUUUGCCUUCCUGCUUUUAAAAGUUCUCUAAACUGGGACAAAUGGAGCCAUCUUAUUUGGGGUCCUUUUGAUGUUGGGGAACCAGCAAGAGUCCCCUUGGUUCAACCAACCUUCAGUUGUGCUAUAAUAGACCUUUGUUUUAACCUCAUCAAUGUUUGUUUUCUUCAUUCCAUUGUUUAAGUAUCAUAUGUAUUAGUGUUCUCCAGAGAAACAUAACCAAUAGGAUAUAUAUAAUAUGAUAUAAAGACUUGGCUCAUGGAAUUACGGAGAAUGAGAAGCCCCAUGAUCUACCAUCUGUAAGCUGAAGACCAAAGAAAGCCAGUGCUGUAAUUCAGUUUGAGUCAGUAGUCCUGAGAACAGGGGAGCUAGGGGUCUAAAUCCCAUUCUGAUCGCAGAAGACUGAUGCCCCAUCUCCUGCAAUGAGGCAGAAAAAGGGGUGAAUUCUCCCUCCCUCCACUUUUUGUUCCAUUCAGGUCCUCAAUGGAUUGGAUGAUGCCUACCCCCAUUGGGCAGGGCAAUCUCCUUUGCUGAGCCCACCAAUUCAAAUACUAAUGUCAUCUAGAAACUCCCUCCUAGACACAUGCAGAAAUAAUGUUUAGCCAAACAUCUGGGCACGCUGUGACCCCAUCAAGCUGACAUAUAAAAUUACCCACCCCCUGUCAAUCUGGUACUGAUAUGCAUCUCCUUAAUCUGCACUUAAUCUCCAAAUAAUGAUAAUGACAAGGUUAUCAUUUCACUUACCAUGAUUCAGCUAUGCUGCAUACAACUGAAAAUGCAUUAACUUCUUCCCCAGAAGAGAAGGUAAAGUGCUUGAGUGAUGUUUAUUCUUCUCUUUGUAAAUACCGUGAUGUAAAAUUAACAGUACUUAAAUACUAUGAUAUAAAGUCAAUGCAUCUUAUGCUACAUGAUAAGGGAAGGAGAGGAAAGAAAACAAAGAUAUUAUACACACACACACAUAACCUUUUCAUUAUUCGUAACAAAUGAACAGGAAAUACUAGUCCUUGUUUCUUUAACUGAUCACUUGGUUAUAGUUACUAAUUGUAACUACCUUUUUCACCAUCCACUCUGUGUUUCCUUUGCCUUCAGCGAGCAUCUCAGCUGGUCACUGUCUUUUGCCUGGUAGGGUGACCCAAACCUUCAUUCCUGUAGAGUCUGGGUCAUUAGUAGUCCUGCUUGCACUGGGUUGUUGUAAUUUUCCAUUGACCUUAAUCACAGGGCAUGAUAAUACUAAAAGAUGCCCUAAGUGUUCUCCUGUGUUCCAGACAUACCCUUUCUGACCUCCGUUGUGGAACAGUAGUCCAAUUUCCCCUUGUCGUGAGGAUCAAUCACCUCACCCAGCACGGUAACUCCCUUCUUUGCCUGUUGAUUCAGAGGCACAAGGAGCCCAAAGUGGCCAGAUGCAAGUCUCAGCUUCCAGUUCAAUGGUAUCCUUGUUGUGUCUCCUGGUGGAAGCAUUCCCCGUUCUGGAGCUAAGACCUCUAGGCCAGUAGAGCACAAAGUUGUAGGAACAGGAAGCAAAAAGUUUGCUAGUGGCUCACUAGGGGUCGUAGUGUUGCCAUUCCCAUUUCCAAUGCUCAAUUCCUGGACCCAGGAAUCCUAGCUAUGGGAGAAACAGCAGCAGAUAUUGGAUCCUGAUUCAGAGCAUAUAAGCCAUCUGGAGAACUUUGCCCCAGCCCUGCAAGGUAUUGCGACCCAGCUGGUGGUAUAACUGAGUCUUCAAAAUGCCAUUCCACCAUUCUUUGUAGCCAGUUACUUCUGGACGGAGGAAAAUGUAAUAAGCCCCUUGAAUUCCAUGAGCAUUGACCCAUUACCACACUUCUUUUGCUGUGAAAUUAGUUCCUUGAUCAGAAGCAAUGCUGUGUGGAAUGCCAUGAUGGUGAAUAAGGCAUUCUGUAAGUGCACACAUAGUAGUUUUGUCAGACGCAUUGCCUGCUGGGAAAGCAUAUCUGUAUGAAGAGUAAUUGUCUAUUCUAGUAAGGAAAAUGCUUCCCAUUCAAUGAUGAAAGCAGUUCAAUGGAAUUAACCUGCCACCGGGAAGCUUGGUGACACCCCAGGGAAUUGUGCCAUAUCAGGGACUCAGUCUUGGUCUCUGCUGCUGGCAGAUUGGGUACUCAGAAUUGGUACUAGCCACCUCAACCUUGGUGAGUGGAAGUCCAUGAUGCUGACCCCACUCAUAACCUCUGCCCCUACCACCAUGGCCACUUUGUUCACGAGUCCAUUUUACGGUUAUGGGAGUGACUAGGGAAAGAGGUUGACAGGUUUCCUCACCUGAUUAUUAAAAUUCUCCUCUGCUGACGUGACCCUUUGGUAAGCAUUCACAUGGCACACAAAUAUCUUCACAUUAUUUACCCAUUCGGAGAGGUAUAUCUUCAUACCUCUUCCUCAAUUUUCCUUGUUACCAGUUUCCCAAUCAUGUUCCUUCCACAUCCCACCCAGGCAAACCACUGACUGCAGUCGGUGAAUCUGUAUACAGUUGUGUAUGUGACCAUUUCUACUUCAAAGCAAAGCGAAUGACCAGGUGACUUUUGUCAGUCCUGCUCACUGGGAAGAUUUUCCUUCACUGCUGUUAUUCAAGGUUACACACAUGUGUGCUUUCUUGGAUAUUGUCCACAAGGCUCUGAGAAUCUGUCACAGGCAAGCUUCAGAAGAACUCAGCAAAAUAGCUUUUCCCUUCUCUAAGGGCACUAAGGCACAUCAGGGUUUGGUGACCUGUCCAAGUUACACAAGCAACUGAGUGACAGAAUCAAGGAUUAAAAACCAAUCCUUCCAUCAUAACCCAGUGACUUAAAAUAGAAUCCAGUAAUCCAUCCUGAUAUUAAAUGGAUAUGUAAAUAAAUAUUUGGGGACAGGCGGAGUGAAAACUCUACUCUCUACUGUGGAAUGCUAAUUAGUAAAUAUAAGAGAAAGAAUCGAGUUUGAAAAACCAUUGUUUGCAACCAUAGUAGUAAUAAUGGAUACAGACAGGAGUCAUCAAGGAAGGCUAAACUAAUGAGUGAAUGUUGUUGAAGAACAGGAUAGUUACAUAUUUUCAAAGUAUCUCCCCUCAAGUUCCUUCUCAAUUAUAAUGGAAAACAGUAACUUUAUCCUGGAAAUACUUGGGAGGCACUGCCUUAACCCAGUGAUCAAGUUGACGUCACCCACAGUGGGCUUCCUGAUGUGAGGCUCUGAGAAGGAUGCAACAUCCCUUUUGCAAUAUUCCUACCAGAACUGCAUAACUAGAAUCUAAUCAUGAUGAGACAUUGGAUAAACUCAAGUUGAAGAACUUUCCAUGAUAUAAAGGGCCUGUCCUCUACGAAAAUACCAACAUCGUUAAAAAUAAAUAAAAUCUGAGGAACUGUUCCAGAUUAAAGGACACUAAAGAUACGUGACAACUGAAUGCAGUGCGUGUUCCUGGAUUAGAUCCUGGACUGGAAAACAAGUGCCUGUAAAUAUUAUUGUGACAAUUUGGGACAUUUGAAUAGGGACAGUAGUAUUGAGUCCACGUUAACAUUCCUGAUUUUGAUUAUUGUGCUCUGGGUGUGAAAGAAAAUGUUCUUGUUAGAAAUAUAUGCUAAAACUUUUGUGAGUAACAACGCAGAGAUAUCUACAAUUUAUUUUCAUAUCAUUAUAUAUGCAGCAAAUGUGGCAAAAUGUUAGCAGUUGGUGAAUCUGGGAAAAGGUAUAUAGGAUUUUCUUGUGCUAUACCUGCAUGCUUUCUCUAAGUUUGAAAUUAUUUCAAAAUAAAAAUUAAAAGAAAUCAAGUUAUUCUGAGUUCAACACAACAUAUCACACUUUAUUUAGUAUAGUCUUUACUAGUCAAACAUGGAUGGUUAUUUCUCUAAUAUUUUGACCUUUUCUUGAAAUCACUUGUUUCAAUCUCCCAGCAUUAGGAUAUCCUUAAUACUGUUCCCUCCUGUUUGAAGACUUCUGUUUGAAGACUUCCUAAAUGACAUCUUUCAAAUACAGAAAACUCUCUAAAUCUAGGGAUUGUGGGAUUUGGUGAAAAGUAUCUCAGUUUAACUUCUACCACGAACUUUGGCCAUCAAGGUAAGAGGAAUGAGAGGGAGGGAGGAACGCCUUUAUUUUCUUUCACUUGGAAGAGCUCCCCACUCUUGCUGUUCUUUGCAUGUCCCUGGCCUGAGGGAAGGAUGGCUCCCUUAGGCCAUGAGAGAAAAAUGAUAAUGUGGAAACAUCUUCCUCCAUCUCCUCCUCAAUCCUUUGGCUUUGAGUGUUGAGCUCUGGAGUCUGAACAGGAACAGAUACCUGUGAUCUGCUCACACUGAGCCCUGUCCGGUGCCUGGUGGUGGGAUGACCUUAUCUCCUGGAUGCUCUUCUUUUUGGUCCUUGGGAAAAGUCCCUGGCCAACCUCCCUAUUGACACCUGGGAGACUCAGCCAUCCUGGAAUGAUCACUAUCUUUGAAUCAAGCACUGACUUCUCAGCAUUUACACCUUGUCAACCACCUGUUAAAUGCUCUUUCAAUGAUUUUCUCAGGAUUUGUUUAAAAAGGGUGUGGUUAUAACCCCAAGCACGUGGAUUUUGAGAACCCUAAAAAGAAGAACCCCUCAGGGAAAGAGCCCUCUCUGAUUUCUCCCAGAACACCUCAUUUCAUCUUCUCAUCCAUUCACUUGGUUGCAAAGUGGCUUCCAUUUCGCCUGACUUUAUUGCAAAAAGUGGAAAUAAAAUCCAGGAUCUCAAACACUGCCCCUCAGGAAACAGGCACAUCAGAAAGACCCUGGUCUCUACUUCUCCAGUCCCGGAGAUUCUGUGUUUUGAUUCCUGUGUGUCCAUUACAAACACUGGAAUACCUGACUUUUCAUUCCCUUUCAGUAUCGGAAAAUGAGCUGAGUUUUCAGCGUAUUCCCUUCCAGAGAGUUUAGUGCAGAGAUAAUCUGCCCAAAUCCAGUGUCAUGGUUUCCUGAGUCAAUAAAGAAGCCAACACGUGAGUUCCUUCAAGAAAAAUAAAGAGAAUUCCCAGACUCCAAAUUUCAUGUGGCAGCUGUGAGAUGGGGCUGGUAGGAUCCAUCCUCACCUCAGGUCACACAGGAGAAUAUACAACUUUUAGGUCCCCAUGGGAGGCAGUCAGUCACGCCGUCUGGGGGACAUGCAGGAAAAUCCUCAGGGAGGAUUCUGUCUACUCAGCUGCCUCCUUCAGCAGCUUCCCCUGAAGAAACCCCGAAGUCUUAGGAAUCAGUUAAGAGCAAAGGUAUUAAUUGUCGCUGAUAAAGUGAAAAACCAGCCAUCUGCCACCCAGUAGGGAAGCCACUUAAGACAACUUUAGGACAAUUUCCUACUUCUACCCUGGACAUGUCUUCACAUGCAGAAGCUGUGGCAGUCGCCCCUGAAACAUUGUUCCAAGUUGUGCUUCUAGGAAUCUGGUCGUAGGGUGCCUCGCUCCCAAAUUCUGCCCAGACUGACUUUUGUUUUUUUCAGCCAAUUUCGUAGAUGAAAAAUAAUGUCUUGUUUCACUUUUCAAUCCUUUGUUGCUACCCAGCCGAAACAUUUUUCCACGGGUACUGGCCAUUUAGAUCUCCCUUCCUGUGAAAUGCUUUUUCAUAGCGUUGAUGCUGUGUCUUAAUUAAGUGUAGGAUGCAGAGGAAAGAAUGGAAAAAAUUAACAAUUAUUGAUUGCUUGUUACUUGCCAGACAGUGUAGACUAUUGAAUUCCCAGGGACUCACUUAUCCUUACAACAGGUCUGUUGUUUCCCCAUUUUAUGGGUGAUGAUGCUACAGCUUCUGCAUGUGAAGAAAAGCCUAGUGUAGAAGUGGGAAACUGUCUUACAAAAGGUUAGUGUAAAACGGAGAGUAUAUGGUCAUCAAUGCCACAACCCAUGGCUUUCUGAGUGACCUCUCCACUGUUUGAAGUAAUCCUCCAGUGAAUAAAAACACUUUCUCUAUGAUAAUAAAACACUGCUUCUUUGUGAUAAUGUCUCUUAUAGGCAAUCAUCUCCUCUUGCUAAUUUUUCAUUCAAGGUGGAAUAAUUGGGGUAAUUGGUGCUGAUAGGCCACUCUCUGAGGAAUUUCUCAGAAAACCUCAUGAGAUGUUCUCCAGGAGGCUGCACCAGAGGGAAUGAGGCCUCGUAUUUCUGCCAUCCUGCUGUAUCCACUGUGAUGGAGUUUAGUCCAGGUACGAUGACAAACCGGAAAUGUAGAAAUGCAAGCGCAGGACCAAACCUCUCCCCUUGUCCUGAUCCCAUGUGCUUUUCAAUCGCUCUUGCUCUGUGUGCUUUAGGGGUAUUUUCUUGAGAGAAACAGAGCACAGGAAACACUGUUCUUGGCUCUGAAUCUUUUGUCUGCAAUUCCUGUUAUACAUGGAUCUAACCAGCGGAUGGCGGACUAGCCAUUAGGUUUCCUAGCCCUGCUUUUCCUUGAUCACACCCACUUGUGGAGUGUGCGGGCUUCACAGGUACAAAUUAACAAAGAGGAACAUUUUGUUUUUAUCUGAGCUGGGAUUCCCUUUGUGAGGUUGGGAAUGGGAAUGUCCAGUUAUAAUUCAGAGAUGACAAAUACUACUCCGAAAAACGAGAAAAGAGAUUAAAUAAUGUGUGUCUUUGGCGCCUCAGCUCUGAGCUGCUGAUUUCUUGUGUUGAGUGUCUGAGAGAUGCUGAACAUUCAGUAUAAAGCAGGACACUUCGAGUUCUCAGAGGAUCCUCGUUCGUAAUUGUAUUGGAAAAUAGUUUGUCAGUUUCAUCACUCUCCCCCAGCCCCGACCCCGU
Non-coding RNA from Equus caballus (horse), 8713 nucleotides. The record is from RefSeq and is a predicted model, not a curated record. Lineage: Eukaryota; Metazoa; Chordata; Mammalia; Perissodactyla; Equidae.